Molecule: ribosomal RNA, 274 nt
Filed under: uncultured bacterium
Lineage: Bacteria
Description: partial 16S ribosomal RNA
Rfam family: Bacterial small subunit ribosomal RNA
Source: RNAcentral
AUACGGAGGGUGCAAGCGUUACUCGGAAUUACUGGGCGUAAAGGACGCGUAGGCGGUUUUUAAAGUCAGAUGUGAAAGCCUAUGGCUUAACCAUAGAACUGCAUUUGAAACUUCUAAACUAGAGUGAGGGAGAGGUCAGUGGAAUUAGUGGUGUAGGGGUAAAAUCCGUAGAGAUCACUAGGAAUACUCAUAGCGAAGGCGACUGACUGGAACUUUACUGACGCUGAGGCGUGAAAGCGUGGGGAGCAAACAGGAUUAGAUACCCUAGUAGUCC